Molecule: long non-coding RNA, 230 nt
Filed under: Olea europaea (common olive)
Lineage: Eukaryota; Viridiplantae; Streptophyta; Magnoliopsida; Lamiales; Oleaceae
Description: long non-coding RNA (OEUR_LNC007809)
Source: RNAcentral
GGAAAAUCAUGGGAGGGUUGUACACAUAUGUACAUUCCAGCAUGCAUCAGUAAACACUAUGUUACGCUGGAGAUCGUUUUUGCUGACUCGACUAUAUAUGUGUACGACCCAGAUCAUUCAUGUUUGACACAAGGCCAGUUGAAGCAAAACCUGGAGUCCGUGGCUGUAAUUGUUCCUAUGAUGGCCGAACGAGCAGGGAUAAAUGUACAGGAUAGAUUGCGGAUUGUUCA